CAGUCGCCGCGGUAACACGGAGGAUCCAAGCGUUAUCCGGAAUCAUUGGGUUUAAUGGGUCCGUAGGCGGUCUUGUAAGUCAGUGGUGAAAGCCCAUCGCUCAACGGUGGAACGGCCAUUGAUACUGCAGGACUUGAAUUAUUGGGAAGUAACUAGAAUAUGUAGUGUAGCGGUGAAAUGCUUAGAGAUUACAUUGAAUACCAAUUGCGAAGGCAGGUUACUACCAAUUGAUUGACGCUGAUGGACGAAAGCGUGGGUAGCGAACAGGAUUAGAUACCCCCGUGUCCCUGUCUCUUAUACA
Molecule: ribosomal RNA, 301 nt
Filed under: uncultured bacterium
Lineage: Bacteria
Description: partial 16S ribosomal RNA
Rfam family: Bacterial small subunit ribosomal RNA
Source: RNAcentral